Molecule: long non-coding RNA, 871 nt
Filed under: Homo sapiens (human)
Lineage: Eukaryota; Metazoa; Chordata; Mammalia; Primates; Hominidae
Description: HSALNT0324832
Source: RNAcentral
GCCAUGAGGGCGGGAACCCUCGUACGCGGAAGUUCAUGAGGGCGGGACCCUCGUACGCGGAAGGUCAUGAGGGCGGGACCCUCGUACGCGGAAGUUCAUGCGGGCGGGACCCUCGUACGUGGAAGGUCAUGAGGGCGGGACCCUCGUACGUGGAAGGUCAUGAGGGCGGAACCCUGGUACAUGAAAUUCGUUCUCUUAUUUAAGAGACAAAGAACGCCCUUGUUUUUUCCACCACGUGAUGGCGCAGACAGAAGACAACCAGCAUCUAUGAACCAGGAAGCCCCCACCAGGCACUGAAUCUGCCCCUGCGUGGAUCUUAGACUUGCAGACUCCAGAACUAACCUUACAAUGUCUCUUCUCCAUUAAGAAAACCUACUUCAACAUCUCCAUUGGUUCUCAACAUAGAGGUCCAAAUUUUGGUCUGGAGCCAGAGACAAUAUAGGAUGAAGUUUGAUUUGUUCCAAAACCCACAGAAAUCUCUAAAAUGGAAGAAUUUUCUUAGAACCAAAAGGCAUGGAAUUGAUGACAUGAAACUGCGAUUUUCCAUGAAAUGCACACCAUGCUACUUCUUCCAUAUCUACAAGGUAUGCAUGGGCUGCCCACUCACAAAAAUAAAGCCAAGUCAGGUCCCGAGAAGGGCUGGCAUUUUCAUGUAAAUGGCAAGUUGUACAUCAAUGUCAGAUUAGCUGCGAGGUUGUUGCAACACUGAAACCUGACCUGACCGGCUGACAAGGCAGGAUUUCCACAGAGGGGACGAUAUUUCUGAAGCAUCUGUAUCUCUGAGCUUUUGAUGUAUGAGUUGAUCUUUCCCCAAUAGCUAGCGAGAAAAGCACUCUUGUUAGUAUUUAAAAAUAAUAAAAAAUGAAUCCUU